UGGGGAAUAUUGCACAAUGGGGGGAACCCUGAUGCAGCCAUGCCGCGUGAAUGAAGAAGGCCUUCGGGUUGUAAAGUUCUUUCGGUGACGAGGAAGGUUGAUAGGUUAAUAGCCUAUCAAAUUGACGUUAAUCACAGAAGAAGCACCGGCUAACUCCGUGCCAGCAGCCGCGGUAAUACGGGGGGUGCGAGCGUUAAUCGGAAUAACUGGGCGUAAAGGGCACGCAGGCGGUGACUUAAGUGAGAUGUGAAAGCCCCGGGCUUAACCUGGGAAUUGCAUUUCAUACUGGGUCGCUAGAGUACUUUAGGGAGGGGUAGAAUUCCACGUGUAGCGGUGAAAUGCGUAGAGAUGUGGAGGAAUACCGAAGGCGAAGGCAGCCCCUUGGGAAUGUACUGACGCUCAUGUGCGAAAGCGUGGGGAGCAAACA
Molecule: ribosomal RNA, 427 nt
Filed under: uncultured Haemophilus sp.
Lineage: Bacteria; Pseudomonadati; Pseudomonadota; Gammaproteobacteria; Pasteurellales; Pasteurellaceae
Description: bacterial SSU rRNA
Rfam family: Bacterial small subunit ribosomal RNA
Source: RNAcentral